This 187-nucleotide unclassified non-coding RNA is filed under the name Ascomycota sp. RNAcentral describes it as "partial contains small subunit ribosomal RNA, internal transcribed spacer 1, and 5.8S ribosomal RNA". The stretch from base 1 to 47 matches the Rfam family "Eukaryotic small subunit ribosomal RNA", at positions 1785 to 1831 of the family's 1831-position model. Lineage: Eukaryota; Fungi; Ascomycota. The record is from RNAcentral.
AAAGUCGUAACAAGGUCUCCGUUGGUGAACCAGCGGAGGGAUCAUUAUUGAGUUUACUCUUUAUUAUCACCCUGUGAAUCUACAGUUGCUUCGUGGACAUCUGUCCACGGAAUCAUCCUUCUUUUUUUAUUCUACUGAGUUAAAAAUAUAAACGUGAAAACUUUCAACAACGGAUCUCUUGGUUCUG